CCUACGGGUGGCAGCAGUGGGGAAUAUUGGACAAUGGGCGAAAGCCUGACCCAGCCAUGCCGCGUGUGUGAAGAAGGCCUUCGGGUUGUAAAGCACUUUCAGUGGGGAAGAAAGCCUUGGGGCUAAUACCCUCGAGGAAGGACAUCACCCACAGAAGAAGCACCGGCUAACUCCGUGCCAGCAGCCGCGGUAAUACGGAGGGUGCGAGCGUUAAUCGGAAUUACUGGGCGUAAAGCGCGCGUAGGCGGUCUGAUAAGCCGGUUGUGAAAGCCCCGGGCUCAACCUGGGAACGGCAUCCGGAACUGUCAGGCUAAAGUGCAGGAGAGGAAGGUAGAAUUCCCGGUGUAGCGGUGAAAUGCGUAGAGAUCGGGAGGAAUACCAGUGGCGAAGGCGGCCUUCUGGACUGACACUGACGCUGAGGUGCGAAAGCGUGGGUAGCAAACAGGAUUAGAUACCCCUGUAGUC
This 465-nucleotide ribosomal RNA is filed under the name Vreelandella stevensii. RNAcentral describes it as "partial 16S ribosomal RNA". It matches the Rfam family "Bacterial small subunit ribosomal RNA", at positions 338 to 795 of the family's 1533-position model. The record is from RNAcentral. Lineage: Bacteria; Pseudomonadati; Pseudomonadota; Gammaproteobacteria; Oceanospirillales; Halomonadaceae.